CGGGAAGUAGCGCAGCUUGGUUAGCGCGCCUGGUUUGGGACCAGGAGGCCGCGGGUUCAAAUCCCGCCUUCCCGACCA
This 78-nucleotide transfer RNA is filed under the name Actinomycetales bacterium. RNAcentral's name for it is "tRNA-Pro". It matches the Rfam family "tRNA". Rfam says of the family: Transfer RNA (tRNA) molecules are approximately 80 nucleotides in length. Their secondary structure includes four short double-helical elements and three loops (D, anti-codon, and T loops). Lineage: Bacteria; Bacillati; Actinomycetota; Actinomycetes; Actinomycetales. The record is from RNAcentral.